AGCCUAUUAGCUCAGCUGGUUAGAGCGUGGUCUUAAUUAAUAAGCCCAAGGUCGCAGGUUCAAGACCUGCAUGGGCCA
RNAcentral lists this transfer RNA (78 nucleotides) under Triticum aestivum (bread wheat). It matches the Rfam family "tRNA". Rfam says of the family: Transfer RNA (tRNA) molecules are approximately 80 nucleotides in length. Their secondary structure includes four short double-helical elements and three loops (D, anti-codon, and T loops). The record is from Rfam by way of RNAcentral. Lineage: Eukaryota; Viridiplantae; Streptophyta; Magnoliopsida; Poales; Poaceae.